Molecule: non-coding RNA, 74 nt
Organism: Zootermopsis nevadensis
Lineage: Eukaryota; Metazoa; Arthropoda; Insecta; Blattodea; Termopsidae
Source: Rfam
GCCACGGUGGUCUAGCGGUUAGAACGCUGGCCUUGUAAUCCUGAGCGUCUCGGGUUCGAUUCCCGGCGGUGACC